Long non-coding RNA from Leptidea sinapis, 2016 nucleotides. RefSeq lists it as uncharacterized. The record is from RefSeq and is a predicted model, not a curated record. The transcript has 2 exons. Lineage: Eukaryota; Metazoa; Arthropoda; Insecta; Lepidoptera; Pieridae.
AAAUAAGACUUCGUUCCAUAGACGGAUCAAUUUUCAUAAAGAAAUCACAAAGCUCAUUUGCCAUUUUUAAGCCUUCACUAGGAUUUUUCAGAAUUAAAUAUCACAUUUCCAGUGCUUGCUGAAGCCUCUUCACAUGUCCUCCAAGUCGAUUUCAGUCAAAUCUUCAUCCUGCGAUUAAUGCAACUCCUGAAUGUCACUUGAUUCUAUCUGUUCGUACCCAUCUCGUCCUAUUCCAUUCGCAAUUUCGGCUAUAUUGGAAUUGUUUUUAUUAAUAUGCAUGUACUAUGUACCGAUUACAUCCGCGAAUAAAGAAAUCUUUAGCCGUGAAUAUGGGAAUUGGGUCACAAUUUUUUAAUACGCGAAUAGUGAAAACGCGGAUAAGGAGCUUUUACUGUACUUCGCGAAGAACAAAGAUUUAUUGUAAGAUAUUUUAUUAAUGUAAAAAACGUUCCAUGAUUAUUCAUGACAAUAAUUAAUUUUAUUCAUUCAUCUAUAAUAUUAUCAACACACUGAAGAUCAAUAUUUUAAUCAUCUUAGUUAAAUUAUAAUUUAUUUUUCAAUAUCACAUUAUUAUAAGUAUAACUAUCUUCAUGUAUGAAAUAUAUAAUUAGUAUUAAGUGUGUGAAAAACUAUGCCUAGAAAACAUAAAAGAGCAAGACUCGAAAUCUUAUUUCGCCGCUAGAUUUUUUUCUUACUAGAUGAUAUUUACCAAUUGGGGCUGAUAAGGGCAAUUUCUUAGUACAUUUAUAUAUCUAGAUGGACAAUGAAAGCUGUGAAAAUGUUGAAAAAAGUUAAGUUUAGAACUUACCUCUAUUUGGAGCAAUUUACACACCCUAAUACGAAGUGUUAUAUAAAUCGCGAGUGUAAGACGUAACGUGUCUCGCCAUAUUCCUGGCCUGUUUUUAUCGGUUGUCUAACGGCCGUUCCCAAUAUUCAGUCUAUCUCUUACUUGAGAUAAAAAUCGUAACUAUCCUUAACUUUUCUGUCCCACUAAACUUAUCGACGGUAACUCACCUUAUCCGUGCACGCUGUCAAUGGGACAGCUUACCAGCGAUAGAAGUUUGUAUGGAAAUUGCAAUUCACGCAUCCCAAUAUAAGGCGAUAAGAAUGACAUAACGGGUAUAUUGGGACAGCUUCAGAUUAUUGACAGCUAAUUACUGACAGUAGAAGGUAGUAAUUUAUAUCUAUCUGUAGAUAGUAUAUUGGGAACGGCAAUUAAAGCUUUGGACUAUAACUGUAUUAGACAUAACUAUGGAUAGAUAGGUGACAGCAAUGUAUCCGUAACUAGAGUACAUAGUUUCAUACAAGUAUAUUGAUCCUAUAAUUCUUAUUAAAUAAGAAACAAUCCAGUAGUUGUUAAUAAAUUGGGAUUUGGUUUAAAGCGAGAAUAAAAUAGAAUUAUAACUAAUUUUUUUGUAUGGAUAUGAAUAUUAGUAAUUUUAUUGUUAUUAUGACUAUAAAUUUUACUGGUUGUAAUAAUAUAAGUCACGAGAAUUGAAAAACGAAUGAUUCAUAAGUGUUAGCAGAUAGUUUGGACAUUAAAAUCUUCAAAACAAAAACAUAAUUUUUUUUAAAAUCUCACUUCUGGGAUUAAUUACACAAAUAAAACUUAUGAACCAUGCGGGACUCAAACCCGCGACCUCUCGCGUUCCAUGCGAGCGCUCUUCCAACCGAGCCAACUGUUCAAGUGACGUAUCGUUGAUAAAUCUUGUAUGCUUUAAUUUUUUGGUUUUUUAAUUUCUCUGGCAGUAAACGUUACGUUCUUAAAUAAGUUUUUUCUAUUUCACUAAUCGUAGUUUCAAUAUCAGUUUUAUCAACAAAGUACAAUAUUUCUUAACGUUUUCUCAUUUUGUAUUUAAAACGAUACAUUAAUAUUAAAUAACCUUUAUGUAAAUUUUCGGUCGCGAUAAUGUGCCGUGAAGCAGAUGUUAUACAAGUAUGGUAAUAAUAUUGUAUACAAGUAUUAGUUUACAAGUUUGUUCGACAUAAUAUAAAUAAACAUUAAAUAUAAUAUAA